UAAGCAACCUGGCCCAGUGCCUGUAAAAGAAGGGGUAAGGAGGAAGGUAUCGAGCCCUUUCUUUUAGGCAUAGGAUUCUCUCAAAACUUUGGGUUGGAGCGGAAGGGAAAAUAGGAUAUAUAACGUAUCAUUUUAUCAUUGUAAUAUAAAUGUUUAUAUUUUUCUUAGUCCUUUCAAACAAUCCUUCCUCCAACUUAUCGAAAAUUAGAAGGAUUGAGACUGCAUGCAUUGAAGGAUCAAGUGACCCCCUUGAAUUCAUCUUCAACUCACCGUCCUAUAAACUAGGCAUUAAAGUCUUUUAACUUCAUCUAAUCCUUACUAAAUAGGAUUCCUCCAUAAGCUUAAUAAUAGGUGCUUUUCCCUGUCCAUUUGUACACCAUAUGUAAACAUCUCUUUAUAAACCUGACAUUCUUUCACCACCUUUGAGCAGACAAGCUUCUGUUUUUGCUCCCAGCUUCCUGGUUUUAAGAACAAAUUCAUAGCUCAUAGAAUAUCACAGAAUUCAUAGUUCUGCUAUUCUUAAUAGCAAAUUGAACCUUGUACUAGAAUUUUUCUUUUUGCAUUUAGAAUUCUUGAUUUAAUUUUUGAAAUUGAUUGCUCCUGGAAGUAUAAAGCAGAUGGCCUAUAUACAAUCAAUUAUACACAUCCAUUGCCAAUUUGAUUGAAGAAUUUGUUAUAACCAUACUGAAGGAAUAUGUAUGGUUCACUAAAGGCGUAUAUAAAGCAUGACUUUUCUAUUUUCAGACAAUAAUGGAUUUUUAAUUUCUUGAGUUCAUAUGUGUAUUAUCUUAUGGUUUUAUGUAGUUUGAUUGGCUACUCUAAGUAUAAGUUCGUAAAUGGAAGAGAUGAGAUGGGGAUUGUUGCGUCCAAUCUUUAAAAUGCAUGUAACUAAAUGAUUUCAUAUAUAGUCACGAUCUACACAAGACUCAAUAUUUUUUAACAUGUCAAUUACCUUCCAAUGUAUGCAAUAUAGAGAAAGAGUUAGACGCAAAACGUGCUACUCGAAAAGUAGAAUAUGCAGUUCGAGUGAAGAUGAAGGAAAUGAUACAAAAUAGGAUGAAGGUAGAUGAGUAACAAUUCAAUUAUACGUUGUGAGAAUUAACAGAAUAUCUAUUUCAUGAGGAUGAAGAGUUAUAUUUUUUAGAUGUGUAAUAAUAGAUAUAGACCAUUUUUGCUAUUGUUUUUAAAUUUAGAUGUAACCAUACUUAGUGAAUAAUUUUUAUUUGAGUUUUGGUG
RNAcentral lists this long non-coding RNA (1236 nucleotides) under Olea europaea subsp. europaea. Lineage: Eukaryota; Viridiplantae; Streptophyta; Magnoliopsida; Lamiales; Oleaceae. The record is from RNAcentral.